GGGUGCUAAUAAUGCAAGUCGAACGCACUCUCGUUUAGAUUGAAGGAGCUUGCUCCUGAUUGAUAAACAUUUGAGUGAGUGGCGGACGGGUGAGUAACACGUGGGUAACCUGCCCUAAAGUGGGGGAUAACAUUUGGAAACAGAUGCUAAUACCGCAUAAAACCUAACACCGCAUGGUGUAGGGUUGAAAGAUGGUUUCGGCUAUCACUUUAGGAUGGACCCGCGGUGCAUUAGUUAGUUGGUGAGGUAAAGGCUCACCAAGACCGUGAUGCAUAGCCGACCUGAGAGGGUAAUCGGCCACACUGGGACUGAGACACGGCCCAGACUCCUACGGGAGGCAGCAGUAGGGAAUCUUCCACAAUGGACGAAAGUCUGAUGGAGCAACGCCGCGUGAGUGAAGAAGGUUUUCGGAUCGUAAAACUCUGUUGUUGGAGAAGAAUGUAUCUGAUAGUAACUGAUCAGGUAGUGACGGUAUCCAACCAGAAAGCCACGGCUAACUACGUGCCAGCAGCCGCGGUAAUACGUAGGUGGCAAGCGUUGUCCGGAUUUAUUGGGCGUAAAGCGAGCGCAGGCGGUUUCUUAAGUCUGAUGUGAAAGCCUUCGGCUCAACCGAAGAAGUGCAUCGGAAACUGGGAAACUUGAGUGCAGAAGAGGACAGUGGAACUCCAUGUGUAGCGGUGAAAUGCGUAGAUAUAUGGAAGAACACCAGUGGCGAAGGCGGCUGUCUGGUCUGUAACUGACGCUGAGGCUCGAAAGCAUGGGUAGCAAACAGGAUUAGAUACCCUGGUAGUCCAUGCCGUAAACGAUGAGUGCUAGGUGUUGGAGGGUUUCCGCCCUUCAGUGCCGCAGCUAACGCAUUAAGCACUCCGCCUGGGGAGUACGACCGCAAGGUUGAAACUCAAAGGAAUUGACGGGGGCCCGCACAAGCGGUGGAGCAUGUGGUUUAAUUCGAAGCAACGCGAAGAACCUUACCAGGUCUUGACAUCCUUUGACCACUCUAGAGAUAGAGCUUUCCCUUCGGGGACAAAGUGACAGGUGGUGCAUGGUUGUCGUCAGCUCGUGUCGGGAGAUGUUGGGUUAAGUCCCGCAACGACGCAACCCUUAUUACUAGUUGCCAGCUUUAGUUGGGCCCUCUAGU
RNAcentral lists this ribosomal RNA (1138 nucleotides) under Latilactobacillus sakei. Its description in RNAcentral is "bacterial SSU rRNA". It matches the Rfam family "Bacterial small subunit ribosomal RNA", at positions 42 to 1144 of the family's 1533-position model. Lineage: Bacteria; Bacillati; Bacillota; Bacilli; Lactobacillales; Lactobacillaceae. The record is from RNAcentral.